GGGGAAUAUUGGACAAUGGGGGGAACCCUGAUCCAGCCAUGCCGCGUGUGUGAAGAAGGCCUUAUGGUUGUAAAGCACUUUAAGCGAGGAGGAGGCUCUUUUGGUUAAUACCCAAGAUGAGUGGACGUUACUCGCAGAAUAAGCACCGGCUAACUCUGUACCAGCAGCCGCGGUAAUACAGAGGGUGCGAGCGUUAAUCGGAUUUACUGGGCGUAAAGCGUGCGUAGGCGGCUUUUUAAGUCGGAUGUGAAAUCCCCGAGCUCAACCGGUAACAUGCAUUUGAAACUGAAAGACUUGAGUAUUGGAGAGGCAAGUGGAAUUCCUAGUGUAGCGGUGAAAUGCGUAGAUAUUAGGAGGAACACCGGUGGCGAAGGCGGCUUGCUGGACAAAUACUGACGCUGAGGUGCGAAAGCGUGGGGAGCAAACA
RNAcentral lists this ribosomal RNA (427 nucleotides) under uncultured Gammaproteobacteria bacterium. RNAcentral's name for it is "bacterial SSU rRNA". It matches the Rfam family "Bacterial small subunit ribosomal RNA", at positions 356 to 774 of the family's 1533-position model. Lineage: Bacteria; Pseudomonadati; Pseudomonadota; Gammaproteobacteria. The record is from RNAcentral.